GAUGAACGCUAGCUACAGGCUUAACACAUGCAAGUCGAGGGGAAACGACAUUGAAGCUUGCUUCGAUGGUCGUCGACCGGCGCACGGGUGAGUAACGCGUAUCCAACCUGCCUCUGACCAAGGGAUAACCCGUCAAAAGUCGGCCUAAUACCUUAUGCAGUCGUCGGAAGUCAUCUGAUGACGACGAAAGAUUUCAUCGGUGAGAGAUGGGGAUGCGUCUGAUUAGCUUGUUGGCGGGGUAACGGCCCACCAAGGCAACGAUCAGUAGGGGUUCUGAGAGGAAGGUCCCCCACAUUGGAACUGAGACACGGUCCAAACUCCUACGGGAGGCAGCAGUGAGGAAUAUUGGUCAAUGGGCGAGAGCCUGAACCAGCCAAGUAGCGUGCAGGAUGACGGCCCUAUGGGUUGUAAACUGCUUUUAUGCGGGGAUAAAGUGAGGGACGUGUCCUUCAUUGCAGGUACCGCAUGAAUAAGGACCGGCUAAUUCCGUG
RNAcentral lists this ribosomal RNA (491 nucleotides) under uncultured bacterium. RNAcentral's name for it is "partial 16S ribosomal RNA". It matches the Rfam family "Bacterial small subunit ribosomal RNA", at positions 28 to 507 of the family's 1533-position model. The record is from RNAcentral.